AUCCCAUAAUGAGGACAGGCGGCCACGUAUUCCUGCUGUCGUUCCCAUGCUUCCGGAAUAGUCUCAUCCCUUGUCUGCUGGAAACUUGAAAAUCUUCCUCGAAGGGC
This is a small nucleolar RNA of Oryza sativa Indica Group (long-grained rice), 107 nucleotides long. It matches the Rfam family "Plant small nucleolar RNA R71". From Rfam's summary of the family: R71 is a member of the C/D box family of snoRNAs containing the C (UGAUGA) and D (CUGA) box motifs. Multiple nearly identical copies of this snoRNA have been identified in Arabidopsis, and it is thought to function as a 2'-O-ribose methylation guide for 18S ribosomal RNA. Lineage: Eukaryota; Viridiplantae; Streptophyta; Magnoliopsida; Poales; Poaceae. The record is from Rfam.